This 211-nucleotide long non-coding RNA is filed under the name Setaria italica (foxtail millet). RNAcentral's name for it is "long non-coding RNA (SITA_LNC005325)". Lineage: Eukaryota; Viridiplantae; Streptophyta; Magnoliopsida; Poales; Poaceae. The record is from RNAcentral.
CGCGGUUCCCUGAUUAACAUCAACUACAGGAUUACCAGUACAAUCAUACUUGAUAUCUUAUUCAGGUGUCAUUUGCAAAGAAGUAGACUUUUUCAGAAAGGUUAGCGUACACCAUCAUGACUUCAGCAAGGUUCGUCUUAUGUAACGCUAAAGGCAAAGGUCCUAUCGAUUAAAAACAAUAUUGGAGAAACCGACAAAUUAACCAGCGCAC